GACGAACGCUGGCGGCGUGCCUAACACAUGCAAGUCGAACGGAGCCAGCCCCUUCGGGGACUGACUUAGUGGCGGACGGGUGAGUAACGCGUGAGAAACCUGCCUUUCAGUGGGGGACAACAGUUGGAAACGACUGCUAAUACCGCAUAAUGUUAUUUGGGGGCAUCCCCGAAUAACCAAAGCUUUAUGUGCUGAAAGAUGGUCUCGCGUCUGAUUAGCUAGUUGGUGAGGUAACGGCCCACCAAGGCGACGAUCAGUAGCCGGCCUGAGAGGGUGACCGGCCACAUUGGGACUGAGACACGGCCCAAACUCCUACGGGAGGCAGCAGUGGGGAAUAUUGCACAAUGGGCGAAAGCCUGAUGCAGCAACGCCGCGUGAGGGAAGACGGUUUCGGAUUGUAAACCUCUGUCUUUGGUGAAGAUAAUGACGGUAGCCAAGGAGGAAGCCACGGCUAACUACGUG
Molecule: ribosomal RNA, 462 nt
Filed under: uncultured bacterium
Lineage: Bacteria
Description: bacterial SSU rRNA
Rfam family: Bacterial small subunit ribosomal RNA
Source: RNAcentral